AGCGGCCUCAGCGCUCCGAGAUCUCGGGAGGCCUCUCUAACAGCUCAUCCUCGCGGGCGAAGGCAGGCGGAGAAGGGGAAGGGCGAGCCGGGCAGAGGGGGCCGCCAGAAGGAAGAAGCGAACCACGCGGGCGGGCGGGCGGGCGGGCGGGCGGGGUGUCACCAGCCGGUCCCCUCUCCUGCGCUUAAGGUAGGAGGCAUUGUGUCAGCCCCCCCCUCCCGGAGCAGCGGCGCCCGAGAGCGCCUGCCUUCGGCUUCCUCGGCUGACUCGGGGAAAACCCCCCCACGAAAUCUUCUCUUGGAUUUUUGAGGCAGGGAGAGAGGGAGAGAGACCGAGAUAGCAGAAGGGGAUCGUCUGCAGGGCGCAGACACCAGGCGCAAAACCAGCACGACUUCUGCAGCAGGAGAGGCGGAGAUUUCAAUCGCACAGGGCCUUUAGCAAUCAUAUANACAUCUCCUCAUCUAUCAUCUUGCUAUGGCAUCCGCACUGAGUGACAUGGGUAAAUGGAGAGUGACAAAGACAGGUGGAACAAGGAAAUGUGUUAGCCCUCGUUCGGCGCAAAUGCUACAUAUUGCUGGGACAUUUUUGUUUCAAGUUGCAGACGGAGGAACAUAUGCUGGGCCUUAUCCACUCAAGUUGUCUCCUAAUCAUGCAUCUGUCUCAGGAAAAAACAAAGAAAAGACUCCAGCUUUCUUUCUUUCUUUGAUGGACGAGGGAACCACUCAGAAGAGCUUAGCUGUACCUGGACCACCCCUUCCCCAUUUUAAGAGAAGUCUUUUCAGCACAAACAUCGUUUCUUCUCCGUGGUUCUUUGUUAGAGCUGGAGUGCCCUGUUCAGUAAGUUCAGACAGAUGGCAAUGACAUAUUUCAUACAGAACUCUGUAAUGUGGGUAAUGGUUCAGGUGGUCUCUGAGAAGGUGAAUGGUUCCUCCACCGUUUUCUCCCCUCCAAAUAGCUUUUGAUUGAACUGCUGGAACUGCCGUCUGCUUUGGAGGCAGCCCUUGGCCUUUUCCCAUGUCCUUGGGAUGCUUGUAAUUUUUUUUUUCUUUUUCUGAAGGCUGGAGCUCCCAAGAAGUAGGUGUCCAAGCUGGGGAGGUUACCAUAGUUUACAGAUGGAUCACUGAGGGUGAGAGACUACCAGUCAAUGUCUUCAAGGCAGUGAAUCCAGAAACACAGUGUCCUGAAGUCAAUGGGAUUUCUCUCCUACCUGCAAAUGUAAUGCUUUCAGUUUUUCAAAGAGAAUCACAAGAGGGACGAGUUGGGAAGCAGAGAGCAUAGCUCUGUGGCAGAACAUCUGGUUUGCACGCAACCCCAUGGAAGGCAAUGGCAAACUGCUUUUGUCUUUAAAGGUACCAGUGACUUUGACCCGACCCCAGCCCCUGGUGACUUUAUGGACACCUCCGUGCACUUUUCUUGGAGACAUUGUGGCAGGUUUGCUGAGCCUGUCAAGAUGUUCAGAAUCACAGAGAUUUCUUAGCUGACUGUCAGGUUGUUAGGUGGGUGCCUGCUAUUUCAGACAGGCCUUGUAUGGAUGGAUCUCUUCUUCAUUCCCAAGCCAUUAUUAUAUUUAUAUAUAUUAUUUACUUGAGGUCACAGUGUGGUGUUUACAAAAUAUAAAAUUAAAUAAUAAAUCAUAAGCAGAAAGUGAAAAAUCCUAAGGC
Salvator merianae (Argentine black and white tegu) is the source of this 1661-nucleotide long non-coding RNA. Lineage: Eukaryota; Metazoa; Chordata; Lepidosauria; Squamata; Teiidae. The record is from Ensembl.